CCAUUCAAUAUAACUUGAUUGUUUCUAGGAAGGGAUGAUCAUGGACGUAAGUAAUACAUACACUUGAUUGUGAAUCAAUGAGAGUUUCUUUUGUUGAACGACUGAAAAAUUUCUACUGCACUUUUGAGUGAAAUGAUGGCGAAAAGAACACAGUGAAAUCAAGAACGGCCUGCUGCUCACCGAGUCAAGGAGGAUGUUGGAUGCCUUGAAGACGCUAGAUGACCGGUGUGUCGGCGUAGUGAAGGAAGGCGAGCCCCUUCACCGCACCAAUGGCAGUCUACAUCCUCCUCAUCCAUGGUACAGGACUAUCGAGACCUUCACACAAUUACAGUUCAGGUCAGCUUCUACAAGUCUUUCCGGAAUUGACACAGAGGUGGUGGUGACAAACUGACGGUGAAGGUAGCUUUUGUAGCGUGAGGUUCAGAAUGAAUAAAUGACAUUGCAGACUAUUAAUAUACUGAUGGAAAACAUUGCAAGAUGUGUCUAGACAAUGAACUCAGGAGAUAACGAUAAACUCCAGAGCAAAACAUGGCUGUCCAAGGUUAUGAAAGAUUACAACGUAGCCCAUAUUAAUUUGGUAAAUGUUCAGAAUUAGGAUUAUAAAUUUAGAUACGUUAUAUGAACUAUAAUCCAUUGUUUUCCAUAACAGAACAAAGAUACAAGUCCAACGUAGCCCAUAUUAAUUUGGUAAAUGUUCAGAAUUAGGAUUAUAAAUUUAGAUACAUUAUAUGAACUAUAAUCCAUUGUUUUCCAUAACAAUACAGUAAUUCACAAUCCAAAAUGCAGAUUCAAGUUUAGUUUAUGGACUGAAAAAAAUAAUGUAUGACAAGGUUCAGAAUCAUUUAAUCAAUAAUAAAUACUGUCAAAUUUUCAAAAUAAUCAAUUCACGUUCAGUUUCAUCAAAACAGUACAUGUAAAAAUGCAACAUUCAAAUAAUGCUGUACAAGCAUCAAUUGCAUCGUUCCCUCGGCCUCUGCCAAGUGCCAAGUGACCAACAUGGCUAAAGAGAUCAAUCAUACAGCAUUAAUGUUUCAUUGUUGGCCUGAUACCGUAAUGAUACAACAUGAAAUAUUCAUGAAGUGAAAAAUUUCUCAAAGGUAUAAAAUAAAAAGGAAUUUAGUCCAUCUAAAGGCACUCUUAGUUUUAUAUGCAGAGCAUGCUCAAAACCAGGAAUGACAUGGCAAGCUCGAUGUUUACAUAAAAAUCUCUAGAAAGUUUAGAAUGCGAAUAUACUUAAACAAACUUCAAAGUUUUAAUACCAAAAUAUAUUAAAUGAAGGGAUUUUGUGAAUCUAAAGGAAAAGGUAUCAUCAAGCAGAGUAGCAAGUCAUAUAUAUGGGAUUAGCAUCAUUUACCUCUCUCCUGAACCCCAGUUGUUCUCUUAUUUGCUGCUGGACCAAUGCAUUCCAUUCAUUCCAGUUAUUGCAUCAACUUCUGCUACAGGAUCACUAACAAAUUUC
This 1459-nucleotide long non-coding RNA is filed under the name Oryza sativa (Asian cultivated rice). RNAcentral describes it as "long non-coding RNA (OSAT_LNC001351)". Lineage: Eukaryota; Viridiplantae; Streptophyta; Magnoliopsida; Poales; Poaceae. The record is from RNAcentral.